Molecule: long non-coding RNA, 2349 nt
Organism: Oncorhynchus gorbuscha (pink salmon)
Lineage: Eukaryota; Metazoa; Chordata; Actinopteri; Salmoniformes; Salmonidae
Exons: 7
Source: RefSeq, a predicted model, not a curated record
CUCUGGGAAGCGGUGCUCAUGACAACCAACAUAAACAAGUUUCAGUAGCUAUAGUUAUCCGUUGGUUUCACAAAACGGGGUGCCAAACCCAAGGAAAGCUGCUGCCAUUGCUUUCUGUGGGGACCAGUACUAUGAAAUAAUUGGAUCUAUUUAACAAAGCAUGGACGAAAGGUUCGAUGCUUGAAUGGAAUCUCCAGAUUCAUGGCAGCGAGGCAGAAUAAAGGUAUUGACGAGGGAGAGGUAUUACAUGGCCAUCCUCUGGGUGUUUCCCCCUUUCCACAUGCCAGGGGUUUAUACCAACCAUCUGUAAUUUUCAUGGGUCGGCAGACUUCCAGAGAGUCCAGGGCUGAAGAUGCCACCAUAAGUGUACACUUACAAGAAGCCGAGCAUCAUUCGCCCCAAUCAUUGCUCACGUGCCUCGGAAUACCGACAAAGUGGCCUUUUUGAAGGACUCCAAAGUUUCCAGAGAGGUUGUUGCCGACAGCGGAGCGCAUUUAUCAGAUGACAUUUCGGGCUCAAACGAUUCCCCCGACGGCUGUAAUUUGAGUGACAAACAUGAAAGGAUGGCAGCAGUGGUUCCAUCCAGUUUAACAGCCAGCGCCAGUGUGCCUUUUGGAGGUGAUUAACAAUCUCCUACACCUCGAGUGACCUUGACGAGGCCUGAGAAGAAUAGCCUAUCAUCCCGGCAGUAUCAGCCAUAUGUCUGACAGGAAUUCACCGGCAGAAUACACUCGGUAGAGGGUCUGCCCACCAGGAUAGCAUAGAAAAAUAAGUUGGAGAGAGUCUUGCAAAGAUCACCAACUCAAACUGACUUGGGAAAAUAAUCUCAAGAUGUGCCAGAGAGGAGUGAAGACCUCAGUAUAUCCAGUUCCAGUGGAGCUGUCAGUGACCAGGAGUGGCAGUGACCUGUCAAUCUCCCUGACCGAGUCUGACCUGGCUGAGGUACCAAAGGUGCCACAGAAUGUCGUCUAUGUAGACGGCCAUAGCAGGAGGACAGACAGCCCACCAGAGGAGUGCUACACCCAGGGACAGGGAUCUCCACAGCAUCAGCAUACACAGUCAAGAAUCACUUGACACUCCAGAGCCUAGGAACAGAUCUGAACCAAGUAGAGAAUCCACGUCUUAAGGAAUACCAUUGGAAAGCCUUUGUAACUCCAGGGAAGGCUUGAAUGGAGAGGACCUUGAAACAUGUGGAACAGUCGUCCUUCACCAGCUUCAGAGGUUGUUAAAGACCACGUCAAAGGGUUGGUUGCCUGUUACCUGAAGAGAUGGUUAGCUUUAACUGGUCGACCACUGAGCCCAGGAAAAUAAGCUCCUGUCUCCCACCUGACGCUGCUCCUCUGUGGGAUCACUGGUUCAAGCACACCCUUCUGCUGAAGGACCACCAUGUCCUCACCACCGAGCGCCUCGUCCAGCUGUUCACUCCACUGCUACUGCCACACAAUGCCUCCUAUAGCACCAAGGACUACAAAGUGGUGAAGAGGACAGCCAGGACGAGAGCCCCGUGGAAAGUAUUCCUAUUGGAGGUAAAAAGGCAGUGCUGAGCCCUGCAUUCAGAGUUCUUGUGUAGCGUUGGUUUUCCUCCCACAGCCGCUGAUAAUGGCCUCUUUUAAAUGGAUGGCUGUGGCAGGAUGAUCAAGGUCAAUCUGGGGUCAAAGUCCCACCUGUAGAGCUGUGCAAUUCCUCUAAUUAUCUUGAAGAAACAGUGCAUGUUUUCAGCUGGCCAGAGUAGAGUUGUGGCCAAAUUGAUAAUUCACACCCAUAUAAUGCAGCAGUUUCAUUGUCAGGACACCGGGGUGUAGCUAGAGAUUGGCCAUUGGUUCUCAUUAUCUUCUAAACAAUGCUAUGCAGCAGCAUACUUGAAAAGGCGAGAUGUGAAGGCAUGCUGAAAGCGGCCUGGGUUCCAGUUCACACCAGAAUCUCAGAAACACUUGGCUAGCAUAGAUUUCAUACUGAGCAUUUCAUCUGUGAACAUCUCCAAGGGCGCAAGCCCACAGAACCAGUCCAGUUUCAAAUCAUAACUAAUCAAAAGCAUUGUUUUUUUGAAAAGAGACAUUUGCAGUCCAGUUUCAUGGCUGGAGCCACUGCUGUGCAACAGUGAGUGUUGCCAGCACAAACGGAAGGUAAUGAGUUAAGAAUGUGUGGCUGUAUAUGCUUAAAGUGACACGCAUUUAUUAUUUCUACAAACAAAACAACUACAAUGGACAGAUACUUAGAUAUACAGUGUCUUCGGAAAGUAUUCAGACCCCUCAACUUUUUCCACAUUUUGUUACGUUACAGCCUUAUUCUAGAAUGGAUUAAAUAAAUAAAAAAUCCUCAUCAAUCUACACGCAAUACCCCAUAAUGACA